UACAGAGACUGCAAGCGUUAUUCGGAUUCACUGGGCGUAAAGGGUGCGCAGGCGGUCGGGUGUGUCAGAUGUGAAAUCCCGAGGCUCAACCUCGGAACUGCGUCUGAAACUACUCGACUAGAGUACUGGAGAGGGUAACGGAAUUCACGGUGUAGCAGUGAAAUGCGUAGAUAUCGUGAGGAAUACCAGAGGCGAAGGCGGUUACCUGGACAGUUACUGACGCUCAGGCACGAAAGCAUGGGGAGCAAAAGGG
This 253-nucleotide ribosomal RNA is filed under the name uncultured bacterium. RNAcentral's name for it is "partial 16S ribosomal RNA". It matches the Rfam family "Bacterial small subunit ribosomal RNA", at positions 524 to 776 of the family's 1533-position model. The record is from RNAcentral.